RNAcentral lists this ribosomal RNA (222 nucleotides) under Tetraclita rubescens. Its description in RNAcentral is "partial small subunit ribosomal RNA". The record is from RNAcentral. Lineage: Eukaryota; Metazoa; Arthropoda; Thecostraca; Balanomorpha; Tetraclitidae.
GGUAAUUUAGUAUGAAAAGUAGUAAAUUUUUGUACAAUAAAAGUGAACGUUGAGGUCCGUGUUGUAAUUUUAGUUUUUUUUUGUAAAUCUACAUGUAAGUUUAGGCUAGUAAAAAAGAGUUGUAAAAUAAAUUAGGAGAUUCUCAGUAGAAAAUUUUGGAAAUAUAUAAAAAUUUUAUCCAGAUAAUAAAAGAGAGGUGGAAAAUGGCGUGCCAGCAGCCGC